CAACUGGGCAGAGGGAUCCUCCUCCCAUCAUCACUGAGAGAUGACUGACUCACACCUAGUCUCUCACAUAUUGAUGUUUCUAUCAUGGGACUGGAGCCAAAGACUAUCAUCAACGUCAUCUAGGGAAGAAAAGACCAAAAUGAGUCAGGAAGCUCAGCUACUGUCCUUUGAGAGAAUGAAUACUGCUUCCAUACUCAGAUACUCAGCUCAGAUACUGUGUGAUGGACUUGAACAGGAACUCACUCAGCCAAGUGCUGGAAUCAGUGCAGCUUUGGUCCAGCCUGUGGUUGAACCUUCUUGUAUGCUGCAAGUUGUGUAUUAUAAGAUAGAGAGAUAGAGAGAGAUAG
Molecule: long non-coding RNA, 347 nt
Organism: Pogoniulus pusillus (Red-fronted tinkerbird)
Lineage: Eukaryota; Metazoa; Chordata; Aves; Piciformes; Lybiidae
Exons: 3
Source: RefSeq, a predicted model, not a curated record